Molecule: long non-coding RNA, 687 nt
Filed under: Dasypus novemcinctus (nine-banded armadillo)
Lineage: Eukaryota; Metazoa; Chordata; Mammalia; Cingulata; Dasypodidae
Description: lncRNA (ENSDNOG00000050208.1)
Source: RNAcentral
AUCGACUACCCGGAAAAAGGAGGGGGGGGGAGGAAUUAUAUUUAGACACUUGAGGCUUCCGCUUUGUAGGGGUCAGUGGGAAAAGCGGAUAAACUCAAUAACAACACACGCAGUGAGGCUCCAAGGAGCCUAUUCUUCCGCCAGUGCCUCGGCGGCGGCGAGGCUUUCAAAGGGCCGGCGUGCACGUGGUGGAAGGUCGCUAGCGAUGGCCCAGAGACACCCACCAGACACCCCACCGGCGGCGCCUGACAGGAUCAAACAGAAGGAAAAAAUGGGCCGCACCCAAUAGCGGCUGCAGCAACCUACAGAAAAGCGUGACCUAAAGCCUCAGAAGGACUCACGCAGCUUCUCGGCGAAACAGGACCAACGUCCCUGCGUACUACGCACGGACGUACCUACGUACCGUGAGACGGCCGUACCUGCGCAGCCGGACCAACGCGCCUGCGCACAUCCGUCUUCCUGCGCCUCGUGGCAGCAUGCCUCGCCCCGCCCACCUACCAGGCGGGGCCCUUGAGCGGAAGCGGAAGUGGGUGCCAAGGGCAGAGGCUUCGGCUUAGGCUGCUGCAUCGGCUGCGGCGGUGGCUGAAAGCAUCGUGAGUGAGUCUCCGGUUGGUUGCUGGCACGUCUCUAGGUAGGGCCAGGCCUGCGUGGACCAGCACCCUUGCCAGUUUUCGCUCUCUGCCUGCG